GAUGAACGCUGGCGGCGUGCUUAACACAUGCAAGUCGAACGAUGAAGCCCAGCUUGCUGGGUGGAUUAGUGGCGAACGGGUGAGUAACACGUGAGUAACCUGCCCUUAACUCUGGGAUAAGCCUGGGAAACUGGGUCUAAUACCGGAUAGGAGCGUCCACCGCAUGGUGGGUGUUGGAAAGAUUUAUCGGUUUUGGAUGGACUCGCGGCCUAUCAGCUUGUUGGUGAGGUAAUGGCUCACCAAGGCGACGACGGGUAGCCGGCCUGAGAGGGUGACCGGCCACACUGGGACUGAGACACGGCCCAGACUCCUACGGGAGGCAGCAGUGGGGAAUAUUGCACAAUGGGCGCAAGCCUGAUGCAGCGACGCCGCGUGAGGGAUGACGGCCUUCGGGUUGUAAACCUCUUUCAGUAGGGAAGAAUCGAAAGUGACGGUACCUGCAGAAGAAGCACCGGCUAACUACGU
This 465-nucleotide ribosomal RNA is filed under the name uncultured bacterium. RNAcentral describes it as "partial 16S ribosomal RNA". It matches the Rfam family "Bacterial small subunit ribosomal RNA", at positions 28 to 506 of the family's 1533-position model. The record is from RNAcentral.